CAUGAAACAAUGUAAUAGGGCCUCGGUUCUAUUUUAUAAGUUUUUGAAAUUCCGACCAGAUUGGAUGUAUUGGUGCUUGCAAUUCUUCCCCAUGAAUGAAUAAUUCCUAGUAAGCGCGAGUCAUAAGCUUGCGUCGCUACUACCGAUUGAAUUAUUUAGUGAGGUGCCGCUGUUGCAGGAAAGAUGACCAAUCUUGAUUAUUGAGAAGAAGUAUAAACCGUAACAAAGUUACGUGAAAUAUUUAUAUUUCAAUUGUAAAACAAAAUCUCGUAUCUCUGAACAAAAAGCGAAUGCUUUACUGUGUACUAAUUGUAACCAUAAUAGAUAUACUAGUAUCAGCAUCGCGCGAGCCAUCUUAACCAAUUACCAGGGAAUUACGUUCGAAACAUGUCUAAAUUAUAUAAAAUCACCCUGAACGAUGGAUUACUUGGCUUGUGGGUUGAUAAAGAACGCAGCUAAUUGCGCGAUAACAUGUGAACUACAGGAUACAUGAGCAAUGACAUUUCGAACGCACAUUUCGGUCCUCGGAUACUGUUUCCAGACCACCUCUGUCCGAGGUCGUUUAACAAUACCAGACUACCGCUUGCUUUAAACAAAUAAUGGAGUUUCGCGUAUAUGCGUGCUCUUAAAUAAUUUACUUAAAGUAAAGGUUUGCUUAAGCAAACUGAGAGAUGACAGACUACAGAGGACCCGAAAGAUGGUAAACUAUGCCCGGUCAGGUCGAAGUAAGGAAAAACUCUUAUGGAGGACUGUAGCGAUUCUGGCGUGCAAAUCGAUCGUCGGAACUGGCUAUAAAGGCGAAAGACUAAUUGAAGAAUCUAGUAGCUGAUUUCCUACAAAGCUUUCCUCAAUAUGGCUGGCAUUCGAUGAGCGAGUCUCUUCAGGUAAAGCAAAUAAUUAAAUUACUUCAAUCUAUUCUCAAACUUUAAAUGGGUUAGAUCUCUGGCAUGCUUGAAUAGUGAAGCUAGAGAUUAGGAUCAGAGUGCCUAGUUGGCUACUUCUGAUAAGCAUAACUGGCGCAAUGAGUUGAACUAAACGCUGAUUUGAGGCGCCUGAACGACGCUAAUGGAAUUCCAUAAAAGGUAUUUAGACAGCAAGACGGUGGCCAUGGAAGUUGGAAUCCGCUAAGGAGUGUAUAAGAACUCACCUGCUGAAACGUUGUGUCUAUACACGGCCGCCAGGGCAUGAGAAACGUUUAUUUAGUUCGUUUUGUAGCUCUGGUUAGUAGGAGGGUCGCGGUGGUGUGCGCAGAAGGGUUUGGGCGUGAGCCUGUCUGGAGCCACUAUUGGUGCAGAUCUUGGUGAUAGUAGCAAAUAAUUUAAUUAAUAAUAGUUUUUUGUGAACAGUCGUUGCACACGAGUCAAUUGGUCCUAAGCCCCGGGAGAAAUCCUAUGCUGAUGUUGGUAUAUUUUAUUUUGAAUAAAAUCUCACAUUCAUCGAACAAAAAGGAAUCCGGUUUCUAUUCUGAAACCCAGCAGCGGAACCGUUUACAAAUCGGGCCCCCGCAAGGGAGUUUAUCGGGGUAACCCAAAAUGACUUGGAGACGCCGUCGGCAAAUACGGGAAGAAUUUUCCUUUCUGUUUCAUUUUUCUUUAAUUUUCUAGCAGGAAGAUAGGGUUUGGAAUGCGAAGAGCGCCGCAGUUGCGCCAAACAAAAUCUUUCGAAAAGUUUUUUGUUUUUUAAAAUUGAUUCAGUGUUGAAUACUAAUACUUGCACGAGAAAUUUUUCACUUUUCUGCUAUUUACGAAGAAACGGCUCUGCCGAUCGAUAAAAUCAAAAAACGAUACUAAUUUUUGCAAAAUUUGACAAAUUUUUAAAUUUCGUCAAAACGACUGGUCGUAGGUCUAUAGGACUAUGAUAUAUACCGUCAAAAAAAUUCAUGAAAAUUGUCUAAAAACAAAUUUUAACACUUUAUUACAAGGAAACGGUUUGUCGAUCUUUACCAAAAACUGAUCAGCAUCUAUCCCAAUAACUCUCGAACGGUUUUUAAUUUUUUUAAAUUGAUUCAGAAUUGCGGGCUAAAUCGUGGACAAAUUUUUUUUCACUUUUCUGCUAUUUACAAAAAAACGGCUUGGCUGAUCGUUGCGCAAAAUUGAUAAAUGCUUGUCUUAAUCGAGAUACAUGAAAUCGCUUUUAAAUUUUUGAAAUCGGUUUACCCGUUUUUGAGAAAACUUCGAUUUACGGCAAAAAAUUUGUUUACACACACACCUACAUACUUUUUCCAAAUUUGGUCUCAUUCUAUUCAGAAUGGCUUAAAACAUCGAGAAAACGUAAAAUUAGCGAUUCAGAUUUUUUGAUAAAAACAUAAACUUCUCUUUCGGGAAGUUAAAAAAUAGCCAUAUGUCUCGUCAUCUAACUAGUGACGCGCGUGAAUGGAUUAACGAGAUUUUUACUGUAUCUAUCCACUUUCUAGCAAAACCACUGCCAAGAGAACGGACUGAAAAAAUUAGCGAGGAAAUAAGUCCUUGUUGAGAUUGAUUUUAGUCUGGCAUUGUAAGGAGACAUGAAAGGUGUGGCAUAGGUGGGAGAUAGCAAUAUCAUCGGUAAAAUACCACUACUUUCAGCAUUUCUUCAUUUACUCGAUUGGACGACUGUUACGGUUUUCUAGAGCCAAGCGCAUAAAAGUGGUGUUAAUCUUCACGCCAAUCGCCAACAAUACUCUAGCGUGAUUCGAUUCAAGGAAAUUGCUAGGCGGGUGUCCUAAGACCAGCUCAACGAAGACAGAAACCUUGCGUAGAAAGCACUGACUAUCGAUACUUUUGACUUGAAGAGUUUACAGCAAAAGGUGUCAGAAAAGUUGCCACAGACAUAACUGGCUUAUGGAAGCCAAGCGUUCAUUGCGACGUAGCAUUUUGAUCUUUCGGCUCUUCUUAUCAUUGCAAAGCAAAAUUCGCCAAGCGUUGGAUUGGUUACACACAAACAGGAAACGUGAGCUGGGUUUAGACCGUCGUGAGACAGGUUAGUUUUACCCUACUAAUGAAUUGUCGUUGUGAUAGUCAUUUUGCUCAGUAUAAGAGAAAUCGCAAAUUCGGACAUUUGGGACAUUUACUCGGUUGAACGGCUGGUGGUACAAAGCUACCAUCCGUGCAAUUAUGAAUGAACGUCUCUAAGGCCGUAUCCUUUCUAGACAAAGUGAGCAAUUUUUAGGGGCCUCGCGAGUCGAAAGGAUCAACACAAAGUGAUUCAUUAGGUAUUCGGCACAAGCCAUUUAUCGCACGAAUCUUUUUUGGCCGAAUGAAGCAAUGGGCACUUGUGGUAUCCAGUCGGGAAUCGAAAUCGUUCGUGAACGACUUAGGAUAUGGCGGAGUGUUAUACUCGGUAAAGCAGUU
This 3329-nucleotide ribosomal RNA is filed under the name Ctenocephalides felis (cat flea). RNAcentral describes it as "eukaryotic LSU rRNA". It matches the Rfam family "Eukaryotic large subunit ribosomal RNA". Lineage: Eukaryota; Metazoa; Arthropoda; Insecta; Siphonaptera; Pulicidae. The record is from RNAcentral.